RNAcentral lists this unclassified non-coding RNA (838 nucleotides) under Ochrobactrum sp. RNAcentral's name for it is "partial 16S-23S ribosomal RNA intergenic spacer". The stretch from base 225 to 298 matches the Rfam family "tRNA". Lineage: Bacteria; Pseudomonadati; Pseudomonadota; Alphaproteobacteria; Hyphomicrobiales; Brucellaceae. The record is from RNAcentral.
GAACUUUCUCAGGCUUAUUAGAACAUAGAUCGCAGAGUAGUCGCUCUGACGAUCGCUUUGCAGGCGUGCCGCCUUCGUUUCUCUUUCUUCAUUGUUGAUUGACAUGACCCGCUCACGGGCCGUAUCGCAGCUAACGCUGCUGGCCCUGCGCGAGCGCGCCACACGAGUGGCGACGGACUAGCGUCCUGUAUUGGCGCCCUCUUGAUGGGGAUGCGAUAGUAUAGGGGCUUGUAGCUCAGUUGGUUAGAGCACACGCUUGAUAAGCGUGGGGUCGGAGGUUCAAGUCCUCCCAGGCCCACCAAAUUAUCGCUCACGUGCCGUAUCGCAGCUAUCGCUGCUGGCACUUCGCGUGAGCGCAGCAUGGGCUGCGACGGCCGCUUGGCCUUGCAAAGCUUUGCUUUGAUAAAUGUGAUAAGGGGCUUUAGCUCANCUGGGAGAGCACCUGCUUUGCAAGCAGGGGGUCAUCGGUUCGAUCCCGAUAAGCUCCACCAUCACAAUUUUGGUGUCGAGUAGGACGGAUUGUAGUCAUUCAACAAAAGAAAGAAACAAGUUUGCAGAUUGCUUUGAGCAAUUUGCCUGUUCUGUAUGAAAUCGUGAAGAGAAGAUGUAAUCGGAUUAGCCUUUGGCUAAUGUCGCAAGAGCUUGCUCAAGCCUUGCAUUAUGAUUGGACGCCUAACCGCUCCACCGAUUGUAUCUCGAGAAGCUGGUCUUUCUGCUGAUAACGUCAGACUUUAAUAGUUUGAUGGAUAUUGGCAAUGAGAGUGAUCAAGUGUCUUAAGGGCAUUUGGUGGAUGCCUUGCAUGCACAGGCGAUGAAAGGACGUGAUACGCUGCGAUAA